Molecule: ribosomal RNA, 376 nt
Filed under: Encyonema silesiacum
Lineage: Eukaryota; Bacillariophyta; Bacillariophyceae; Cymbellales; Encyonemataceae
Description: SSU rRNA
Rfam family: Eukaryotic small subunit ribosomal RNA
Source: RNAcentral
UUCCAGCUCCAAUAGCGUAUAUUAAAGUUGUUGCAGUUAAAAAGCUCGUAGUUGGAUUUGUGGUGGAUUGUCGAGUCCUCUUUUGGUACUUGUACGAUCUGCCAUCCUUGGGUGGAACCUGUGUGGCAUUAGGUUGUCGUGCAGGGGAUGCUCAUCAUUUACUGUGAAAAAAUCAGCGCGUUCAAAGCAGGCUUAUGCCGUUGAAUGUAUUAGCAUGGAAUAAUAAGAUAGGACCUUGGUACUAUUUUGUUGGUUUGUGCACCGAGGUAAUGAUUAAUAGGGACAGUUGGGGGUAUUCGUAUUCCAUUGUCAGAGGUGAAAUUCUUGGAUUUCUGGAAGACGAACUACUGCGAAAGCAUUUACCAAGGAUGUUUUC